UGUAGUCCAUACCGUAAACGAUGAAUGCUAAGUGUUGGAGGUUUCCCCUUCAGUGCUGCAGCUAACGCAUUAAGCAUUCCGCUGGGGAGUACGGCCGCAAGGCUGAAACUCAAAGGAAUUGACGGGGGCCCGCACAAGCGGUGGAGCAUGUGGUUUAAUUCGAAGCUACGCGAAGAACCUUACCAGGUCUUGACAUACUAUGCAAAUCUAAGAGAUUAGACGUUCCCUUCGGGGACGUGGAUACAGGUGGUGCAUGGUUGUCGUCAGCUCGUGUCGUGAGAUGUUGGGUUAAGUCCCGCGACGAGCGCAACCCUUAUUAUCAGUUGCCAGCAUUAAGUUGGGCACUCUGGUGAGACUGCCGGUGACAAACCGGAGGAAGGUGGGGAUGACGUCAAAUCAUCAUGCCCCUUAUGACCUGGGCUACACACGUGCUACAAUGGAUGGUACAACGAGUUGCGAACUCGCGAGAGUAAGCUAAUCUCUUAAAGCCAUUCUCAGUUCGGAUUGUAGGCUGCAACUCGCCUACAUGAAGUCGGAAUCGCUAGUAAUCGCGGAUCAGCAUGCCGCGGUGAAUACGUUCCCGGGCCUUGUACACACCGCCCGUCACACCAUGAGAGUUUGUAACACCCAAAGUCGGUGGGGUAACCUUUAGGAACCAGCCGCCUAAGGUGGGACAGAUGAUUAGGGUGAAGUCGUAACAAGGUAACCA
This 709-nucleotide ribosomal RNA is filed under the name uncultured Lactobacillus sp. Its description in RNAcentral is "bacterial SSU rRNA". It matches the Rfam family "Bacterial small subunit ribosomal RNA", at positions 789 to 1502 of the family's 1533-position model. The record is from RNAcentral. Lineage: Bacteria; Bacillati; Bacillota; Bacilli; Lactobacillales; Lactobacillaceae.